GGACAGGGCUGAGGCAUUUUAAGAGCAGUGCAAUCAGCUAUUAUAUUGAAAUAGAUCCAAAUUAAGAGCUAGGAAAGCCUGAUUUCUUGGUCCAAUGCUGAUAGCUAGGAAGGUCUCCUUGUUCCGCUGCCGGGAUUAGUGCUGGCAUUGCUCCUGCCUUGGUCUGAAUGCCCUCCUCUGAGAACGUCUCAGUCCUUUCCGGGAAGGCUGCACAUGGAGGUGGACAGGCAUUGAUUUCAUGGCCAAGAAGAGGGAGAUGUGGCCACGUGCAUCACAGGUGAAAGCCUGGAAGGGGCUUGGCAUUGCCUUUCUGCAUGCCUGAGAGGUUCAGGACCCUGCUCUGAGGUCCUGAGUGAUGCCUCCAGCAUGGCCUCAGGCUGUUCCCCAGUGUCUGAACACAGCUACAAAAAUUAUACCCUGUAAUUCCAGAUGGGGGGCAAACCUCACAAAAAGGAUUUUUUUUGUCUGGUGUCAUAAGGAAAUAAGGCUUCAAUCAUCUUUGUCUCUCUCACUACCUGUCCCACUGAUGACUUUGGGGUCAUUGGAUACAUUUCACCAAUCAGAGGGACACAGGUGCCUAAGAGAAUAUAAUUCUUAAAAAAUAUUGUGAAAAUAGAUGUCCAAGCAUCAGAAAUUAAAUCUAUCAAUAUCACCUCUGAGGAAGAGGUAAAACAUCAGCAAAAAUUUUCUGAGGUGUUGGGGCACAGGCAUGGGCACUGGAUGUGGGAAUGGCUCCAGCACUGGAGUUGCUGGUAGGAGCUGGUGUCUUAUCAGCAGCAAUUCCAGAAGGGCUGGCCUCACAGGCAUUGUGUCCUGCAUCGGAACAC
Long non-coding RNA from Oxyura jamaicensis (ruddy duck), 827 nucleotides. RefSeq lists it as uncharacterized. The record is from RefSeq and is a predicted model, not a curated record. The transcript has 2 exons. NCBI's taxonomy places the organism in Eukaryota, Metazoa, Chordata, Aves, Anseriformes, Anatidae.